CAAGAGAUACCAUUUUUUAAAUUUAUUUUAUUUGAAUUUAUUUAAAAAUGGGGACAUAAAAUCGGAGGCCCCGACUGUUUACUAAAAACAUAUCACAGUGCAAUCAUUUAUAUGAUAGUAUACUGUGUGAAAUUUGCCCAAUGCCAUUAAUAUAAAUGCGAUCAUGAAAGUGAUUAAAUGAAAAUCUGGUUAAUAGCGGUCUUAACUAUGAGGAUCCUAAGGUAGCAAAAUCAGUUGGCCAUUAAAUGUGGUCUGGUAUCAAUAAUGUAACGAUGGUCUCACUGUCUCUACAACUUGCUCAGUGAAAUUGAAUUACGCGUGCAGAUGCGCGUUACCUCCAGGGGGACGGGAAGACCCUAU
RNAcentral lists this ribosomal RNA (360 nucleotides) under Tricholoma sp. C331gn. Its description in RNAcentral is "LSU rRNA". It matches the Rfam family "Bacterial large subunit ribosomal RNA", at positions 1742 to 2094 of the family's 2925-position model. Lineage: Eukaryota; Fungi; Basidiomycota; Agaricomycetes; Agaricales; Tricholomataceae. The record is from RNAcentral.